This 45-nucleotide non-coding RNA is filed under the name Schistosoma margrebowiei. Lineage: Eukaryota; Metazoa; Platyhelminthes; Trematoda; Strigeidida; Schistosomatidae. The record is from RNAcentral.
AUCCGGCCGAUGAGUCUCAUAUAGGAGGAAACGCGCGUCCUGAAU